GGGGGCGUAGCUCAGUUUGGUUAGAGCGUCUCCCUGUCACGGAGAAGGCCGCGGGUUCGAGUCCCGUCGCUCCCGCCC
Molecule: transfer RNA, 78 nt
Filed under: Candidatus Levybacteria bacterium RIFCSPHIGHO2_01_FULL_40_15b
Lineage: Bacteria; Candidatus Levyibacteriota
Description: tRNA-Asp
Rfam family: tRNA
About the family: Transfer RNA (tRNA) molecules are approximately 80 nucleotides in length. Their secondary structure includes four short double-helical elements and three loops (D, anti-codon, and T loops).
Source: RNAcentral